GAGUUAAAAAAAAAAAAAAAUUGUAGGAAGAGUUACCAUAAGAUCAAGCAGCAAUAUUAUCACUGCAACUAAAGGGCAUUCUUCAGGUGGAGCUUUCUUGAGGUAAAUGUAUACAAUGUGCAUGAUGUUUAAUCCACUCCAUCCAUCUUUAAGCCCUUUCAAGAAGUUCAAAACCUUCAUUCUUCUGGUAUUGUUUUAAAAGAUUAUCAUCAUUUUUCUUAAUGUUGAAAACAGAUUUGUUUAAACUUCUGCUGAUUUUGUAAGCAAGAAAUGAUAGAAGAACAAGACAUACCUAUCUAGGCAGAGCAACUCAACUAACACGGAAAAGGCGAAAGCGCUUGAACUUUGUUUGUUUCCAAGAACA
RNAcentral lists this long non-coding RNA (364 nucleotides) under Arachis ipaensis. RNAcentral's name for it is "long non-coding RNA (AIPA_LNC000869)". Lineage: Eukaryota; Viridiplantae; Streptophyta; Magnoliopsida; Fabales; Fabaceae. The record is from RNAcentral.